RNAcentral lists this ribosomal RNA (502 nucleotides) under uncultured bacterium. RNAcentral describes it as "bacterial SSU rRNA". It matches the Rfam family "Bacterial small subunit ribosomal RNA", at positions 28 to 496 of the family's 1533-position model. The record is from RNAcentral.
GACGAACGCUGGCGGCGUGCCUAAUACAUGCAAGUCGAGCGAGCGGAACCAACAGAUUUACUUCGGUAAUGACGUUGGGAAAGCGAGCGGCGGAUGGGUGAGUAACACGUGGGGAACCUGCCCCUAAGUCUGGGAUACCAUUUGGAAACAGGUGCUAAUACCGGAUAAUAAAGCAGAUCGCAUGAUCAGCUUUUGAAAGGCGGCGUAAGCUGUCGCUAAGGGAUGGCCCCGCGGUGCAUUAGCUAGUUGGUAAGGUAACGGCUUACCAAGGCGACGAUGCAUAGCCGAGUUGAGAGACUGAUCGGCCACAUUGGGACUGAGACACGGCCCAAACUCCUACGGGAGGCAGCAGUAGGGAAUCUUCCACAAUGGACGCAAGUCUGAUGGAGCAACGCCGCGUGAGUGAAGAAGGUUUUCGGAUCGUAAAGCUCUGUUGUUGGUGAAGAAGGAUAGAGGUAGUAACUGGCCUUUAUUUGACGGUAAUCGAACCAGAAAGUCACGG